Molecule: ribosomal RNA, 412 nt
Filed under: uncultured microorganism
Description: bacterial SSU rRNA
Rfam family: Bacterial small subunit ribosomal RNA
Source: RNAcentral
GAGUUUGAUCUUGGCUCAGGACGAACGCUGGCGGCGUGCUUAACACAUGCAAGUCGAGCGGUAAGGCCUUUCGGGGUACACGAGCGGCGAACGGGUGAGUAACACGUGGGUGAUCUGCCCUGCACUUCGGGAUAAGCCUGGGGAAACUGGGUCUAAUACCGGAUAUGACCUCCUAUCGCAUGGUGGGUGGUGGAAAGAUUUAUCGGUGCAGGAUGGGCCCGCGGCCUAUCAGCUUGUUGGUGGGGUAAUGGCCUACAAGGCGACGACGGGUAACCGACCUGAGAGGGUGACCGGCCACACUGGGACUGAGACACGGCCCAGACUCCUACGGGAGGCAGCAGUGGGGAAUAUUGCACAAUGGGCGAAAGCCUGAUGCAGCGACGCCGCGUGAGGGAUGACGGCCUGGUUGUAA